This 294-nucleotide long non-coding RNA is filed under the name Mytilus galloprovincialis (Mediterranean mussel). The record is from RNAcentral. Lineage: Eukaryota; Metazoa; Mollusca; Bivalvia; Mytilida; Mytilidae.
GUGCACAGUCAUUUCCUCUGAUGUGAUACUUUUAUUUCUUUGUCUUCAAUGUUCCAGAUUCAGUUUUAACAGUAAUUUAAUCCUUCCUUUUGUUGUCAUACUGAAAAUUGCUGCAUUCCAAAAGUUGUAUGUGACAUGGCAUGGGGUUUUCAUAUUCAGCAUUGUUAUAGUUUUGUUAUAAGGCCUCAAGCUUUUAUCUUUAAAACAUUGAUUUCACUUUCUUUUCAUGCAUAGAACUAAAACUAUCCCCAUAUAUGGUUACAAAAUUUCUGACAAUUUCCAUGUGUGUGUUGA